GAUGAACGCUGGCGGCAUGCCUUACACAUGCAAGUCGAACGGCAGCGCGGGGCAACCUGGCGGCGAGUGGCGAACGGGUGAGUAAUAUAUCGGAACGUACCCUAGAGUGGGGGAUAACGUAGCGAAAGUUACGCUAAUACCGCAUACGAUCUAAGGAUGAAAGUGGGGGAUCGCAAGACCUCAUGCUCGUGGAGCGGCCGAUAUCUGAUUAGCUAGUUGGNGGGGUAAAGCCUACCAAGGCAUCGAUCAGUAGCUGGUCUGAGAGGACGACCAGCCACACUGGAACUGAGACACGGUCCAGACUCCUACGGGAGGCAGCA
Molecule: ribosomal RNA, 320 nt
Filed under: uncultured bacterium
Lineage: Bacteria
Description: bacterial SSU rRNA
Rfam family: Bacterial small subunit ribosomal RNA
Source: RNAcentral